CAGUCUUAAGCAUAGUAUUUUUGUAUAUUUCUCAAAAAUGAGUAGAAAAUAUGAGAAAAUAUGUAUAUAUAUAUGUUUAAGAGAAAACAACACUACUGCGACAGGAAAGGUACACAAAUAACUACUUAUACUGUUAUAGACAUAUAUUUCAGCUCCCAAUGUCUUAAAAAAAAUAAAGAAUGCUUCAUUAGAUAAAAACGAACCUGAGAUCGAGGAUACUUCGAUUAGUGGUUGUUCAAGCGUGUUCAGACUUUGGUGGCCGAGGGGGCACAACAAAUCAAUAAAUU
Molecule: long non-coding RNA, 287 nt
Organism: Metopolophium dirhodum (rose-grain aphid)
Lineage: Eukaryota; Metazoa; Arthropoda; Insecta; Hemiptera; Aphididae
Exons: 3
Source: RefSeq, a predicted model, not a curated record